RNAcentral lists this ribosomal RNA (480 nucleotides) under uncultured bacterium. RNAcentral describes it as "partial 16S ribosomal RNA". It matches the Rfam family "Bacterial small subunit ribosomal RNA", at positions 29 to 507 of the family's 1533-position model. The record is from RNAcentral.
AUGAACGCUGGCGGCGUGCUUAACACAUGCAAGUCGAACGAAGCACUUUAUUUGAUUUCCUUCGGGACUGAUUAUUUUGUGACUGAGUGGCGGACGGGUGAGUAACGCGUGGGUAACCUGCCUUGUACAGGGGGAUAACAGUUGGAAACGGCUGCUAAUACCGCAUAAGCGCACAGCAUCGCAUGAUGCAGUGUGAAAAACUCCGGUGGUAUAAGAUGGACCCGCGUUGGAUUAGCUAGUUGGUGAGGUAACGGCACACCAAGGCGACGAUCCAUAGCCGACCUGAGAGGGUGACCGGCCACAUUGGGACUGAGACACGGCCCAAACUCCUACGGGAGGCAGCAGUGGGGAAUAUUGCACAAUGGGCGAAAGGCUGAUGCAGCGACGCCGCGUGAGCGAAGAAGUAUUUCGGUAUGUAAAGCUCUAUCAGCAGGGAAGAUAAUGACGGUACCUGACUAAGAAGCACCGGCUAAAUACGUG